RNAcentral lists this ribosomal RNA (460 nucleotides) under uncultured bacterium. RNAcentral describes it as "partial 16S ribosomal RNA". It matches the Rfam family "Bacterial small subunit ribosomal RNA", at positions 338 to 795 of the family's 1533-position model. The record is from RNAcentral.
CCUACGGGUGGCAGCAGUGAGGAAUAUUGGUCAAUGGACGAGAGUCUGAACCAGCCAAGUAGCGUGAAGGAUGACUGCCCUAUGGGUUGUAAACUUCUUUUAUCAAGGAAUAAAACGAGGCACGUGCGCCUUUUUGCAUGUACUUUAUGAAUAAGGAUCGGCUACCUCCGUGCAAGAAGCCGCGGUAAUAUGGAGGAUCCGACCGUUAUCCGGUUUUAUUGGUUUGAAGGGUAGCUUAGAUGGGUUGUUAAGUCAGUUGUGAAAGUUUGCGGCUCACCCGUAAAAUUGCAAUUGAUACUGGCAGUCUUGAGUACAGAUGAGGUAGGCGGAAUGCGUGGUGUAGCGGUGAAAUGCUUAGAUAUCACGAAGAACCCCGAUUGCGAAGGCAGCUUACGAAUCUGUGACUGACAUUGAUGCACGAAAGUGUGGGUAUCAAACAGGAUUAGAUACCCGGGUAGUC